Herpailurus yagouaroundi (jaguarundi) is the source of this 748-nucleotide long non-coding RNA. RefSeq lists it as uncharacterized. The record is from RefSeq and is a predicted model, not a curated record. The transcript has 2 exons. Lineage: Eukaryota; Metazoa; Chordata; Mammalia; Carnivora; Felidae.
GGCUGGGGCAGAGCCCAAGGCCAGGAUAAAAGGGCCUUGGGGACUGAGGCCUUCCAUACACUCCUCUCCUGAGGUGCUGACGGACCUUGUGCUGCCUGUGCACCGCUCCUGUCCCUGCCUGCCGAGAUGUCCUGCCAGAAGAACCAGCAGCAGUGCCAGCCCCCUCCCAAAUGCCUCCCCAAGUGUCCCCCCAAGUGUCCCCCAGUCUCUUCCUGCUGCAGUGUCAGCUCUGGGGGCUGCUGUGGCUCCAGCUCUGGGGGCGGGGGCUGUUGUAGCUCCGGGGGUGGUGGCUGCUGUAGCUCUGGGGGUGGUGGCUGCUGUCUGAGCCACCACAGGAGACGCAGGUCCCACCGCCACAGGCACCAGAACUCUGACUGCUGCAGCCAGCCCUUGGGGGGCUCCAACUGCUGUGGAGGGAGCAGUCAGUCAUCUGGAGGCUGCUGCUGAAGUGGAUUCUGAGCCAAGAAAAGCAGAUUUGGGGGCAGCCAAUGCCAAAUCCUUCCUCCUGCUCCUGCUCCUCCUGCUGGGCCUAUCCAUGUGGCUGAGGGGGUCUGACCUCUGGCCCAGAGGAUCGCUGUGUCCUGGUGUCCGGAAGCCAGAACUUCCCCGAACCCAUUCACUCACCUUCUCGCCCAAAUGUGUGGCUGCCCUGGGAACCCAGAGUACAGACCCAACGUCCUUCUUCUGCUUACCUUGUGGCAAACCCAGCUUAAUGGGAAACAAUAAAACUAGAACUCUUCGUUCCUUC